RNAcentral lists this ribosomal RNA (497 nucleotides) under uncultured bacterium. RNAcentral describes it as "partial 16S ribosomal RNA". It matches the Rfam family "Bacterial small subunit ribosomal RNA", at positions 28 to 507 of the family's 1533-position model. The record is from RNAcentral.
GAUGAACGCUGCCGGCGUGCCUAAUACGUGCAAGUCGAGCGAACGGACGAGAAGCUUGCUUCUCUGAUGUUAGCGGCGGACGGGUGAGUAACACGUGGAUAACCUACCUAUAAGACUGGGAUAACUUCGGGAAACCGGAGCUAAUACCGGAUAAUAUUUUGAACCGCAUGGUUCAAAAGUGAAAGACGGUCUUGCUGUCACUUAUAGAUGGAUCCGCGCUGCAUUAGCUAGUUGGUAAGGUAACGGCUUACCAAGGCAACGAUGCAUAGCCGACCUGAGAGGGUGAUCGGCCACACUGGAACUGAGACACGGUCCAGACUCCUACGGGAGGCAGCAGUAGGGAAUCUUCCGCAAUGGGCGAAAGCCUGACGGAGCAACGCCGCGUGAGUGAUGAAGGUCUUCGGAUCGUAAAACUCUGUUAUUAGGGAAGAACAUAUGUGUAAGUAACUGUGCACAUCUUGACGGUACCUAAUCAGAAAGCCACGGCUAACUACGUG